Podarcis lilfordi (Lilford's wall lizard) is the source of this 93-nucleotide non-coding RNA. NCBI's taxonomy places the organism in Eukaryota, Metazoa, Chordata, Lepidosauria, Squamata, Lacertidae. The record is from the annotation of a GenBank genome assembly.
UCUGCCGUGGCUCUCGGGAAGCUCACAAGCAGAGCAGGAAGCAUGAGACUCUUAAUCUCUGGGUCGUGGGUUCGAGCCCCACAUUGGGCAAAA